This 301-nucleotide ribosomal RNA is filed under the name uncultured bacterium. Its description in RNAcentral is "partial 16S ribosomal RNA". It matches the Rfam family "Bacterial small subunit ribosomal RNA", at positions 509 to 807 of the family's 1533-position model. The record is from RNAcentral.
CAGUCGCCACGGUAAUACAGAGGGUGCGAGCGUUAAUCGGAUUUACUGGGCGUAAAGCGUGCGUAGGCGGCUUCUUAAGUCGGAUGUGAAAUCCCUGAGCUUAACAUAGGAAUUGCAUUCGAUACUGGGAAGCUAGAGUAUGGGAGAGGAUGGUAGAAUUCCAGGUGUAGCGGUGAAAUGCGUAGAGAUCUGGAGGAAUACCGAUGGCGAAGGCAGCCAUCUGGCCUAAUACUGACGCUGAGGUACGAAAGCAUGGGGAGCAAACAGGAUUAGAGACCCGAGUAGUCCCUGUCUCUUAUAC